Molecule: ribosomal RNA, 429 nt
Filed under: uncultured bacterium
Lineage: Bacteria
Description: bacterial SSU rRNA
Rfam family: Bacterial small subunit ribosomal RNA
Source: RNAcentral
UGGGGAAUAUUGCGCAAUGGGCGAAAGCCUGACGCAGCGACGCCGCGUGAAGGAUGAAGGUCUUUGGAUUGUAAACUUCUGUUAAACGGGAAGAGAUACCUUUUUCAAAUAAAAGAAGGUGAUGACUGUACCGUUAGAGAAAGCACUGGCUAAUCCCGUGCCAGCAGCCGCGGUAAUACGGGAAGUGCAAGCGUUAUUCGGAAUUACUGGGCGUAAAGGGUGUGUAGGCGGCGAAUUAAGUCUAUUGUUAAAUAUCUCGGCCUAACCGAGAAGGUGCAAUGGAAACUGAUUUGCUAGAGUAUAGAAGAGAGAAGUGGAAUUCUCGGAGUAGCGGUUAAAUGCGUAGAUCUCGAGAAGAACACCGAUGGCGAAGGCAGCUUCUUGGUCUAUUACUGACGCUGAAACACGAAAGCGUGGGGAGCAAACAGG